CGCUCUGCCUCCUUCCCGUCCGCUCCGCUUCUCUGCUUGUCAUCAACACUGUCCUCUUGUUCAAAAGAGAGCCUCACCUGGGUAUGGCCAGCUUUCAGCUGAAACUGUGCUCGAAAAUCUGAGACAGUGCUCAGAAAGCUACAGUCCGAUUGAUUCUCAAUAUGAAUGAACAGGGAGAAAACAGAGAAGUUCACUCAUUGUCUUGAAGAUGCUCCCCAGAAAAGUUUGAUGACAAGCAGAAGAUUUAUUACAGUUCUCCCUUGCCGCACUGAAGUGGAUGAUUUCCAUCUGCCCACUCCAAGAGUUCCAGAAACGGGAAUAGCUCUAGUAAAGAGUCCCAAAAGGUCUGAAAGGAUGUGAUGAGUUGUGCCCUAGAUGUAUUUCUUUAUUUCAAAUGACCAUGAAGAAAACCAGAAAUGAGCAGCUGAAAACCAGAAAAAAUUGUAUUAAACAGUUCCUCUUUUUACAAGUUUACAAGUCUGAAGGAUUUCUCCCUCAAGUGGUGCACAAAAAACAUGAAGCUGUCAUGUUCUAUUGGAAAUAUAUAUACCUCAAUUUUAAAAGACCUGAAUCAUUCACUCAAAUCUUUACUGCAAUAUAUCACAGGAAUUGAAGAAACACUGUAUUCCAGGCAAGUAUUCCAGGCUCACAUUCCAGAUUCAGUCACAGCAGGGUAUACUAUUGUCACCUAAGGACAGAAUCCUCCUGAGUUCAGUGGGGAGCAACAUGCAAAGAAGAACUAAUUAAAUACCUCCAGUUUGAUGCAGCAAAUUAGCAAGAAAACACCUCUCCAAUAAUUGUCGAAGUAGACACGUGACUCAUUCAAAACUCACAGUUUUGGGCUACACUGGUAGAUGUUUCCCAUGGAAACUAAAAACCAUAUAGACUAUUAUAUCUUGACUUUCUAUGUCUUUAGGACAGGUUCCCUACAGUUUCCUUUCUGUAAAAAGGAAAGUAUAUUCCAGACACCCUGUGUGUGACUCUUGAAGCCUUUCUUCAACAGUGACAAAAUGGUACUAUUACUUAGCAGUUGCAUAGAUUUUUCAUGUGACCAUUUCCAAGAAGUUUUUGGAGAUGGAAAGACUCAGGCAACAUAGAAAGAAACUGUAUGUUGAAUGUAAAAAAUAAAUGGACUACUCCAAAUUGAAUACUUUAAAAUGAAGAGCUUUCUUUAGAUUGAAAACGGGAAGCAAAUUUUUCUUUUAUAAUCUGAUCCUGUCACUCAUUUUUGUACUGAUUAGGCUUAUUUUAAAAUAACUUGGUAAAUUAGGAAAUGGGAGGUAAUUUACCCAAUUCUGAAAAAAAAAAAAAAUCUUCAGCAAAAUCCAUAGGUUUUUAGAAUGGUUUAAAUCUCCUAAAUUGUCAUAGAGCCCUCUAACAUAAUGUAAUUUGUCACUAUGAAGGGAUUUAGGUUACUCAAAGUCAUUAUAUUUUAUUUUAAGAGGGUGAAAAAUAUCACCUUUGUGAUGGUAAGGUGAUAAAGAAGGUAGGAAAACAUAAUGAAAGAGCUCUCAAAAACUAUAAUGUUCAUGAAAGGGUUUUUGCUGUUAAAAUACACAGGUUGAAUUGAGUUUUGUUAUUUUGUCAGGAAUGCCCUGGGCUAGGAGGACUGAAAUGAAAAGGGGGAUUUGAUGUCAUUUCUAAUGAACAUAAAACAUGAUUUGUUUUUUUUUUAUUUGUAAAAAUUAAGAGCAAUUAUUUUUUGCCUUACAGAGCACUGAAGAAAGUGCUGCAUUUUCUCACAAUUUUAUUUCUAACAACCAUGAAAUACUAUCUUUUAAGAAAAUCACAACCUGCUUUUCCUUUCUUUCUUCCUUUCCAUAGUUACCAUGACAACCAUAGAAUUUUGGUAGGGAUAAAACAUUUGACAAGCACAUUGUCUUUCUGCUUUUAAAGUCUUCAUAGCUAUAUAGAUGAUCAGACAGGCAUUAUUAAAUAAGGCCAAGCAUUACCCAAGCGUGAGAGCUACACAAAUAACCUGAACAGGUCAGGAAAAACGGUGUUUAGUGUCAAGACCAGGAUAUAAAACAACAACAGAAUUUGUCAUUGCAGUAACAAACAUUAAAAUUGUGAUUUACUUUUUUAUGUGAGCAGUGGGUAUGGAAGGAUAUUUUCAGCUAGGGGGAAAAGACCUGAUACAAAUAGGAGAAAGUGUCCAAAGAACAGCUCAACAUCCAGCCCAGUGCAGUAUCAGUCCAACUUCUCAAAUCAGAGAAGUUUAAAGAGUAGUACAAAACCCAAACAUUCCCUGAGGAUCCUCAUCUUGUUUUAGAUCACCAAGACAUCAGAAAUGCUGGACACCAAUACAUCUUUUCCUAGAUAUUAAAACUAGUAAACAGCUUUUGGUAAGACUAAGGAAAGACCUUUUAAAUUCUUGGCAGUGUAAUUCAAAUUGAAAAUACGGUACAUCUGAAAAGGGUUUCAUUCUGAUUUGGAACUAAAACUAAACCUCAAAAACACCACCUAGAAACGAAAUGGGGAAAACAUACAGUUUUGAUCAUUUUUGCUUAGCUAAAUGAAAAAAACGUAGUACUGCAGUAAAA
Molecule: non-coding RNA, 2543 nt
Organism: Cyanistes caeruleus (blue tit)
Lineage: Eukaryota; Metazoa; Chordata; Aves; Passeriformes; Paridae
Source: RefSeq, a predicted model, not a curated record